This 19-nucleotide ribosomal RNA is filed under the name Truncospora tephropora. RNAcentral's name for it is "partial 18S ribosomal RNA". The record is from RNAcentral. Lineage: Eukaryota; Fungi; Basidiomycota; Agaricomycetes; Polyporales; Polyporaceae.
CCGACUGCGGAAGACAUUA